This 371-nucleotide ribosomal RNA is filed under the name uncultured bacterium. RNAcentral's name for it is "bacterial SSU rRNA". It matches the Rfam family "Bacterial small subunit ribosomal RNA", at positions 28 to 408 of the family's 1533-position model. The record is from RNAcentral.
GAUUAACGCUGGCGGCGUGCCUAACACAUGCAAGUCGAACGAGGUAGCAAUACCCUAGUGGCAGACGGGUGAGUAACACGUGGGCAACCUACCGUAAAGUGGGGGGAUAACUAGUCGAAAGAUUAGCUAAUACCGCAUGGGGAAUUGGUCGGCAUCGGCCAACGUCCAAAGGAGCAAUCCGCUUUAUGACGGGCCCGCGCCCGAUUAGCUAGUUGGUGGGGUAACGGCCUACCAAGGCUCCGAUCGGUAGCUGGUUUGAGAGAGCGACCAGCCACACUGGGACUGAGAAACGGCCCAGACUCCUACGGGAGGCAGCAGUGAGGAAUUUUCCGCAAUGGGCGAAAGCCUGACGAGCGACGCCGCGUGUGGGA